GGUCUUUCGUAAUUGCCCAAUCGCGCCUAUAUAAUGGGGCGUCGGGUCCGCCCGACUAUGGCAAUAAACGUUUUGCGUAAUAAACGUUCGGACCCGGGGGCAGUACCCGGC
RNAcentral lists this transfer-messenger RNA (111 nucleotides) under Rhodospirillaceae bacterium. RNAcentral's name for it is "partial transfer-messenger RNA". It matches the Rfam family "Alphaproteobacteria transfer-messenger RNA", at positions 1 to 109 of the family's 355-position model. From Rfam's summary of the family: Bacterial tmRNA, also known as 10Sa RNA or SsrA, is named for its dual tRNA and mRNA-like properties. Its role is to liberate the mRNA from a stalled ribosome. Lineage: Bacteria; Pseudomonadati; Pseudomonadota; Alphaproteobacteria; Rhodospirillales; Rhodospirillaceae. The record is from RNAcentral.